UACGUAGGGGGCAAGCGUUGUCCGGAAUCAUUGGGCGUAAAGAGCGUGUAGGCGGCUCGAUAAGUCUGCUGUGAAAGUCCAGGGCUCAACCCUGGAAGGCCGGUGGAAACUGUCGGGCUAGAGUCCGGAAGAGGCGAGUGGAAUUCCCGGUGUAGCGGUGAAAUGCGCAGAUAUCGGGAGGAACACCAAUGGCGAAGGCAGCUCGCUGGGACGGUACUGACGCUGAGGGACGAAAGCUAGGGGAGCGAAUGGG
RNAcentral lists this ribosomal RNA (253 nucleotides) under uncultured bacterium. RNAcentral describes it as "partial 16S ribosomal RNA". It matches the Rfam family "Bacterial small subunit ribosomal RNA", at positions 524 to 776 of the family's 1533-position model. The record is from RNAcentral.